GAAAUUGAACUCGCUGUGAAGAUGCAGUGUACCCGCGGCAAGACGGAAAGACCCCGUGAACCUUUACUAUAGCUUGACACUGAACAUUGAGCCUUGAUGUGUAGGAUAGGUGGGAGGCUUUGAAGUGUGGACGCCAGUCUGCAUGGAGCCGACCUUGAAAUACCACCCUUUAAUGUUUGAUGUUCUAACGUGGACCCGUUACCCGGGUUGCGGACAGUGUCUGGUGGGUAGUUUGACUGGGGCGGUCUCCUCCUAAAGAGUAACGGAGGAGCACGAAGGUUGGCUAAUCCUGGUCGGACAUCAGGAGGUUAGUGCAAUGGCAUAAGCCAGCUUGACUGCGAGCGUGACGGCGCGAGCAGGUGCGAAAGCAGGUCAUAGUGAUCCGGUGGUUCUGAAUGGAAGGGCCAUCGCUCAACGGAUAAAAGGUACUCCGGGGAUAACAGGCUGAUACCGCCCAAGAGUUCAUAUCGACGGCGGUGUUUGGCACCUCGAUGUCGGCUCAUCACAUCCUGGGGCUGAAGUAGGUCCCAAGGGUAUGGCUGUUCGCCAUUUAAAGUGGUACGCGAGCUGGGUUUAGAACGUCGUGAGACAGUUCGGUCCCUAUCUGCCGUGGGCGCUGGAGAACUGAGGGGGGCUGCUCCUAGUACGAGAGGACCGGAGUGGACGCAUCACUGGUGUUCGGGUUGUCAUGCCAAUGGCACUGCCCGGUAGCUAAAUGCGGAAGAGAUAAGUGCUGAAAGCAUCUAAGCACGAAACUUGCCCCGA
This 765-nucleotide ribosomal RNA is filed under the name Salmonella enterica. RNAcentral describes it as "partial 23S ribosomal RNA". It matches the Rfam family "Bacterial large subunit ribosomal RNA", at positions 2038 to 2802 of the family's 2925-position model. Lineage: Bacteria; Pseudomonadati; Pseudomonadota; Gammaproteobacteria; Enterobacterales; Enterobacteriaceae. The record is from RNAcentral.